UCAAUUGGAGGGCAAGUCUGGUGCCAGCAGCCGCGGUAAUUCCAGCUCCAAUAGCGUAUAUUAAACUUGUUGCAGUUAAAAAGCUCGUAGUUGAAUUUCUGCUGUAUCGUUUUCCUCUGCUUGACAGUUGGAUUUCGUUAUGGCUUAGUUGGGUUACAGCUCUUGUUACCCAACGUUUACUUUGAGAAAAUUAGAGUGCUUCAAGCAGGCUUUUGCCUUGAAUACUUUAGCAUGGAAUAAUGGAGUAGGACUUUGGUUCUAUUUUGUUGGUUUUAGGAGCCAGAGUAAUGGUUAAUAGGAACAGUUGGGGGCAUUCGUAUUUGACUGUCAGAGGUGAAAUUCUUA
Molecule: ribosomal RNA, 345 nt
Filed under: Theileria cf. equi
Lineage: Eukaryota; Apicomplexa; Aconoidasida; Piroplasmida; Theileriidae
Description: SSU rRNA
Rfam family: Eukaryotic small subunit ribosomal RNA
Source: RNAcentral